GGAUGUUCUUGAAAACAAGAAAGAAAAAAGAGUUGCAAAAAGUUUGGGUACUGUAAGCAAGUGACAGAAUUUUAGGAGCCAUGAUGGUUAUUGUAAUCAUAUAAAUCUCAUGGACGAUGAAUGGGAAAUAUCAAGAAGGAAAAGGAAGAAAAUUCAGCCAUCAAAUAGUAUUGAAAUCUUGAAGGAACAAGCAUGGGAAAUUUGGAGAAGAGUAAAAAAGAAGAAGAAGAAGAAGA
This 236-nucleotide unclassified non-coding RNA is filed under the name Hevea brasiliensis (rubber tree). The record is from RNAcentral. Lineage: Eukaryota; Viridiplantae; Streptophyta; Magnoliopsida; Malpighiales; Euphorbiaceae.